This 254-nucleotide ribosomal RNA is filed under the name uncultured bacterium. Its description in RNAcentral is "partial 16S ribosomal RNA". It matches the Rfam family "Bacterial small subunit ribosomal RNA", at positions 524 to 776 of the family's 1533-position model. The record is from RNAcentral.
GACGUAGGGCGCAAGCGUUGUCCGGAUUUAUUGGGCGUAAAGAGCUCGUAGGCGGUGUGUCACGUCGGCCGUGAAAACCUGCAGCUUAACUGUGGGCGUGCGGUCGAUACGGGUAUCACUGGAGUUCGGCAGGGGAGACUGGAAUUCCUGGUGUAGCGGUGAAAUGCGCAGAUAUCAGGAGGAACACCGGUGGCGAAGGCGGGUCUCUGGGCCGAUACUGACGCUGAGGAGCGAAAGCGUGGGGAGCAAACAGG